RNAcentral lists this ribosomal RNA (253 nucleotides) under uncultured bacterium. RNAcentral's name for it is "partial 16S ribosomal RNA". It matches the Rfam family "Bacterial small subunit ribosomal RNA", at positions 524 to 776 of the family's 1533-position model. The record is from RNAcentral.
UACGAGGGGUCCUAGCGUUGUUCGGAAUCAUUGGGCGUAAAGCGCACGUAGGCGGCUCCAAAAGUCGGUUGUGAAAUCCCUGGGCUCAACCGAGGAAGUGCAUCCGAAACUGCGGAGCUUGAGUAUGGAAGAGGGUCGCGGAAUUCCCGGUGUAGAGGUGAAAUUCGUAGAUAUCGGGAGGAACACCAGUGGCGAAGGCGGCGACCUGGGCCAAUACUGACGCUGAGGUGCGAAAGCGUGGGGAGCAAACAGG